RNAcentral lists this transfer RNA (76 nucleotides) under Magnetococcales bacterium. Its description in RNAcentral is "tRNA-His". It matches the Rfam family "tRNA". Rfam says of the family: Transfer RNA (tRNA) molecules are approximately 80 nucleotides in length. The record is from RNAcentral. Lineage: Bacteria; Pseudomonadati; Pseudomonadota; Magnetococcia; Magnetococcales.
GCGGCCGUAGCUCAGUUGGUAGAGCCCCGGAUUGUGAUUCCGGUUGUCGUGGGUUCAAACCCCAUCGGUCGCCCCA